RNAcentral lists this ribosomal RNA (219 nucleotides) under Craspedostauros australis. RNAcentral's name for it is "partial Bacterial large subunit ribosomal RNA". It matches the Rfam family "Bacterial large subunit ribosomal RNA", at positions 2516 to 2734 of the family's 2925-position model. Lineage: Eukaryota; Bacillariophyta; Bacillariophyceae; Mastogloiales; Achnanthaceae. The record is from RNAcentral.
GUUUGGCACCUCGAUGUCGGCUCAUCACAUCCUGGGGCUGAAGCCGGUCCCAAGGGUAUGGCUGUUCGCCAUUUAAAGUGGUACGCGAGCUGGGUUUAGAACGUCGUGAGACAGUUCGGUCCCUAUCUGCCGUGGGUGUUGGAAUGUUGAGAGGAUUUGCCCCUAGUACGAGAGGACCGGGGUGAACGUACCUCUGGUGGAGCUGUUGUCGCGCCAGCG